UACAGACAGUGCGGGCGUUAUUCGGAUUGACUGGGCGUAAAGGGUACGUAGGUCGCACAAAUAACUCUGUUCGAAAAGCUAGAGGAUAACUGUAGACAGGAACAGACAGAUUUUUGAGCUCCGAGUCAAGUAGAGGUGGGAAGAACUUUUAGUGUAAGGGUAAAAUCUAACGAUAUUAGAAGGACUGCCGAGUGCGAAAGCAUCCCUCCAGCCGAGACUGACGCUGAGGUACGAAGGCAUGGGUAGCAAACAGG
This 254-nucleotide ribosomal RNA is filed under the name uncultured bacterium. RNAcentral describes it as "partial 16S ribosomal RNA". It matches the Rfam family "Bacterial small subunit ribosomal RNA", at positions 524 to 776 of the family's 1533-position model. The record is from RNAcentral.